GGAUUGUGGCUCAGCGGUAGAGUGCUCACCUAGCACGGACGGGACCCGGGUUCGAUCCUCAGCACCA
This 67-nucleotide transfer RNA is filed under the name Marmota monax (woodchuck). Its description in RNAcentral is "tRNA.Ala". Lineage: Eukaryota; Metazoa; Chordata; Mammalia; Rodentia; Sciuridae. The record is from RNAcentral.